Molecule: long non-coding RNA, 675 nt
Filed under: Olea europaea subsp. europaea
Lineage: Eukaryota; Viridiplantae; Streptophyta; Magnoliopsida; Lamiales; Oleaceae
Source: RNAcentral
UUCUUUGUUUUUUUUAUGAAUUUUUGCAUCAUAGCCAAAUCACUUGUAACCUUUAAAUCUUGUUUUGAUUUUGGCAGGUGAUUUUGAUGAUUUCUGUGCUCGUGCAUUGGAGCUAUUCAAUCAAUCAAAUGGCGCUCCACUAUUUACAAUAGCCAAGACCUGCAGUUCUCCAAAUCCAGCUGCUUAUCACGAGACUUUGAAUGGUAAUGCUGCUCGAAAGUAUGAUUCUAUAGAUUUGCUGCCCACUGAUGAACCCGAAGAUGGCGCACAAGAUGACUGGCAACUAAUCUGACUCCGAUUUAUGCUCGGUACGAGGCUGAUGUUAGACACCGGAAUGUGCAUACGAUCUUUUCCUCUGUAAAUUAUCACGAUUUUCCAAAACUCGGUAACAUCCCAUUGAAUGGAGAUUGGUGCGCAGCCCAGUUCUGUUACGCUUAGGCUCAAUCCAUUUCCUCUAUGUUAGAGACAUUAGAUUGUCUGUUGUAAGGUUAUGCAAUAGCUCAUUCUUUAAUGGGUAAAACCAUUUGUACACUAUGAGACCAUGGUGUGCAGCUUUCUCACCUGUUGAGGAGUCCACGUGAAUUUAAAAAUUGUGGAUCCUCUCACGUGAGGGGUUGUAAAGCACCAUUGUUCUUUAAUUGAAGAUAUUCCUUAUUUGCUGUUUAUACAUACUUG